This 497-nucleotide ribosomal RNA is filed under the name uncultured bacterium. RNAcentral describes it as "partial 16S ribosomal RNA". It matches the Rfam family "Bacterial small subunit ribosomal RNA", at positions 28 to 507 of the family's 1533-position model. The record is from RNAcentral.
GAUGAACGCUGGCGGCGUGCCUAAUACAUGCAGGUCGAGCGAACAGACGAGGAGCUUGCUCCUCUGACGUUAGCGGCGGACGGGUGAGUAACACGUGGAUAACCUACCUAUAAGACUGGGAUAACUUCGGGAAACCGGAGCUAAUACCGGAUAAUAUAUUGAACCGCAUGGUUCAAUAGUGAAAGACGGUUUUGCUGUCACUUAUAGAUGGAUCCGCGCCGCAUUAGCUAGUUGGUAAGGUAAUGGCUUACCAAGGCAACGAUGCGUAGCCGACCUGAGAGGGUGAUCGGCCACACUGGAACUGAGACACGGUCCAGACUCCUACGGGAGGCAGCAGUAGGGAAUCUUCCGCAAUGGGCGAAAGCCUGACGGAGCAACGCCGCGUGAGUGAUGAAGGUCUUCGGAUCGUAAAACUCUGUUAUUAGGGAAGAACAAAUGUGUAAGUAACUAUGCACGUCUUGACGGUACCUAAUCAGAAAGCCACGGCUAACUACGUG